GGCUCUGUGGCCUAAUGGAUAAGACGUCGGACUUCGGAUCCGAAGAUAGUAGGUUGAACUAGUGUGAGCCU
Molecule: transfer RNA, 71 nt
Filed under: Toxocara canis (dog roundworm)
Lineage: Eukaryota; Metazoa; Nematoda; Chromadorea; Rhabditida; Toxocaridae
Rfam family: tRNA
About the family: Transfer RNA (tRNA) molecules are approximately 80 nucleotides in length.
Source: Rfam by way of RNAcentral